UUCCAAGGGAAGAGACAGUUAUCAUCAGUCCUUUUAAGAUCCUUGAAGGUUUACUCCAAGAAUGGAAGAAUUCUUUGGGCUUAUGAAUUCAGAAAGAGCUACAUCAGAAAUACUCUCACACACAUGAUUUCUGAGCUCCUAAGGACAUUGCAAAGAGCUGAGGAAUUGGAAGUAGCAUGGUUCAGAACAGACUACAGACUCAGUUCAGUUAUUGAAGUUGAAUGUCACAAAAACAGCUGGAAACUCUGAUGUGAGGAAGAGACCAGGACUCACUCCCCUACCAAACCAAACCAAACCAAACCAAACCAAACCAAACCAAACCAAACCAAACCAAACCAAACCAAACCAAACCAAACCAAACGGAACCAAACCGAACUCAAACGAACUGAACUGAACCGAACAAAACCCAACCCAAUCCAACCAACCAACCAACCAACCAAAAACCCACACUGCUGAACUUCUGAAAUGAAAUAAUUGCUUUAUUUGCAUCAUGUUUUUUUAUUUUUAUUUUUUUACUUCUCCAUGUAUCAGUAGUUAUGUAUUAAUUUUAACAUUUUGCUUUUAUUGACAUUGUCACAAUUUGCUCAUGAGUAGUUCUAGGUCAUAUACCAAAACAAGAUAAAAAACAAAACAAAACAAAACCUCCAAAACAGCAAGUAAAGUUUUUACAGAGUACACUGACU
RNAcentral lists this long non-coding RNA (683 nucleotides) under Anser brachyrhynchus (Pink-footed goose). Its description in RNAcentral is "lncRNA (ENSABRG00000010534.1)". Lineage: Eukaryota; Metazoa; Chordata; Aves; Anseriformes; Anatidae. The record is from RNAcentral.